RNAcentral lists this ribosomal RNA (691 nucleotides) under uncultured Clostridium sp. RNAcentral's name for it is "bacterial SSU rRNA". It matches the Rfam family "Bacterial small subunit ribosomal RNA", at positions 57 to 776 of the family's 1533-position model. The record is from RNAcentral. Lineage: Bacteria; Bacillati; Bacillota; Clostridia; Eubacteriales; Clostridiaceae.
GCAAGUCGAGCGAUUCUCUUCGGAGAAGAGCGGCGGACGGGUGAGUAGCGCGUGGGUAACCUGCCCUGUACACACGGAUAACAUACCGAAAGGUAUGCUAAUACGAGAUAAUAUGCUUUUAUCGCAUGGUAGAAGUAUCAAAGCUUUUGCGGUACAGGAUGGACCCGCGUCUGAUUAGCUAGUUGGUAAGGUAACGGCUUACCAAGGCGACGAUCAGUAGCCGACCUGAGAGGGUGAUCGGCCACAUUGGAACUGAGACACGGUCCAAACUCCUACGGGAGGCAGCAGUGGGGAAUAUUGCACAAUGGGCGAAAGCCUGAUGCAGCAACGCCGCGUGAGCGAUGAAGGCCUUCGGGUCGUAAAGCUCUGUCCUCAAGGAAGAUAAUGACGGUACUUGAGGAGGAAGCCCCGGCUAACUACGUGCCAGCAGCCGCGGUAAUACGUAGGGGGCUAGCGUUAUCCGGAAUUACUGGGCGUAAAGGGUGCGUAGGUGGUUUCUUAAGUCAGAGGUGAAAGGCUACGGCUCAACCGUAGUAAGCCUUUGAAACUGGGAAACUUGAGUGCAGGAGAGGAGAGUGGAAUUCCUAGUGUAGCGGUGAAAUGCGUAGAUAUUAGGAGGAACACCAGUUGCGAAGGCGGCUCUCUGGACUGUAACUGACACUGAGGCACGAAAGCGUGGGGAGCAAACAGG